UACGUAGGUGGCGAGCGUUGUCCGGAAUUACUGGGUGUAAAGCGCGUGUAGGCGGCAGGCCAAGUCGGUGGUGAAAGCGCCCGGCUCAACUGGGCGAGGUCCAUGGAAACUGGUCAGCUGGAGGACGGUAGAGGCGAGUGGAAUUCCCGGUGUAGUGGUGAAAUGCGUAGAGAUCGGGAGGAACACCUGUGGCGAAGGUGGCUCGCUGGGCCGGUCCUGACGCUGAAACGCGAAGGCGUGGGGAGCGAACGGG
This 253-nucleotide ribosomal RNA is filed under the name uncultured bacterium. Its description in RNAcentral is "partial 16S ribosomal RNA". It matches the Rfam family "Bacterial small subunit ribosomal RNA", at positions 524 to 776 of the family's 1533-position model. The record is from RNAcentral.